This 492-nucleotide ribosomal RNA is filed under the name uncultured bacterium. Its description in RNAcentral is "partial 16S ribosomal RNA". It matches the Rfam family "Bacterial small subunit ribosomal RNA", at positions 29 to 507 of the family's 1533-position model. The record is from RNAcentral.
AGUGAACGCUGGCGGUAGGCCUAACACAUGCAAGUCGAACGGCAGCACAGUAAGAGCUUGCUCUUACGGGUGGCGAGUGGCGGACGGGUGAGGAAUACAUCGGAAUCUACUUUUUCGUGGGGGAUAACGUAGGGAAACUUACGCUGAUACCGCAUACGACCUACGGGUGAAAGCAGGGGAUCUUCGGACCUUGCGCGAUUGAAUGAGCCGAUGUCGGAUUAGCUAGUUGGCGGGGUAAAGGCCCACCAAGGCGACGAUCCGUAGCUGGUCUGAGAGGAUGAUCAGCCACACUGGAACUGAGACACGGUCCAGACUCCUACGGGAGGUAGCAGUGGGGAAUAUUGGACAAUGGGCGCAAGCCUGAUCCAGCCAUACCGCGUGGGUGAAGAAGGCCUUCGGGUUGUAAAGCCCUUUUGUUGGGAAAGAAAAGCAGCAGGUUAAUACCCCGCUGUUCUGACGGUACCCAAAGAAUAAGCACCGGCUAACUUCGUG